GAUGAACGCUGGCGGCGUGCCUAACACAUGCAAGUCGAACGAAGUACCUUUUAAUAUUCUUCGGAUGAUUGAUUGGUGACUGAGUGGCGGACGGGUGAGUAACGCGUGGGUAACCUGCCCUGUACAGGGGGAUAACAGUUGGAAACGGCUGCUAAUACCGCAUAAGCGCACGAGAGGACAUCCUCUUGUGUGAAAAACUCCGGUGGUACAGGAUGGGCCCGCGUCUGAUUAGCUGGUUGGCAGGGGAACGGCCUACCAAGGCGACGAUCAGUAGCCGGUCUGAGAGGAUGAACGGCCACAUUGGAACUGAGACACGGUCCAAACUCCUACGGGAGGCAGCAGUGGGGAAUAUUGCACAAUGGGGGAAACCCUGAUGCAGCAACGCCGCGUGAGUGAAGAAGUAUUUCGGUAUGUAAAGCUCUAUCAGCAGGGAAGAUAAUGACGGUACCUGACUAAGAAGCUCCGGCUAAAUACGUGCCAGCAGCCGCGGUAAUACGUAUGGAGCAAGCGUUAUCCGGAUUUACUGGGUGUAAAGGGUGCGUAGGUGGCAGUGCAAGUCAGAUGUGAAAGGCCGGGGCUCAACCCCGGAGCUGCAUUUGAAACUGCUCGUCUAGAGUACAGGAGAGGCAGGCGGAAUUCCUAGUGUAGCGGUGAAAUGCGUAGAUAUUAGGAGGAACACCAGUGGCGAAGGCGGCCUGCUGGACUGUUACUGACACUGAGGCACGAAAGCGUGGGGAGCAAACAGGAUUAGAUACCCUGGUAGUCCACGCCGUAAACGA
Molecule: ribosomal RNA, 779 nt
Filed under: uncultured bacterium
Lineage: Bacteria
Description: bacterial SSU rRNA
Rfam family: Bacterial small subunit ribosomal RNA
Source: RNAcentral